UGGGCUUUUUAACAGCGCCAGAGGUCGUG
This 29-nucleotide small RNA is filed under the name Bombyx mori (domestic silkworm). RNAcentral's name for it is "ovarian small RNA-35033". The record is from RNAcentral. Lineage: Eukaryota; Metazoa; Arthropoda; Insecta; Lepidoptera; Bombycidae.